Long non-coding RNA from Eptesicus fuscus (big brown bat), 317 nucleotides. RefSeq lists it as uncharacterized. Lineage: Eukaryota; Metazoa; Chordata; Mammalia; Chiroptera; Vespertilionidae. The transcript is spliced from 3 exons. The record is from RefSeq and is a predicted model, not a curated record.
CCACGCAAUUACUCGGGAGGCCAAAGAUUCGGGGGCAAAGGCGCUGGGAGGGAGCCAGCCGGUCCCGCCCCGCCCCGCCCCCCGGCGCGUGAAUGAGGCGGCGGCUCGCGGACGCGGCUGUAUUGGGGACACGGCUGUAUUGGGGAGCGAAGGCUCCUACACGGUAGAAGGCACAGACUGCAGAGCCAGGGAUGCUGAGGAAGCCAGAAAAGGAUGCGGGCUAGGUGUUAGAAGAGACAGCACAGCUCCUUCCAGCUGCGGCACACGGGGCUGAAUGAGUUCGUUCCACAAGCAAGGAGUGUCUGCGAGUCCCAGGG